GACAUUUACUUAAUUAGUAAAUGUCUACGAUCAGCAGAUGUAGGCCAUACUGCUGCUGGGCUGGACUUAAAUGGAACUGAUCUGGUCGCAUCUGCCGUAUGUCGGAUGAGCUUUGGGCGAAAACGACCACUCUGUGGAUCCCAAAUUAGCAGGAGGACGUGACGAAUUGUACUCCCACCGAAUGGCCUCAGGUGGCACUAUAAUAUAGAGACAAGUUGAAACAGAAGGGGAGUCUUCGUCUUGCAGUAGUUGUAGGGUGGUGGGUCACUGUCGGUCGACAGUCCGCUUGAGCCACUGCGUGAAGUGUCGCAGCUGCCACACCGCCCGCGCCGACUCCUCGCGCAAACGUGCGUUGUGUCGCCUCAGCCGACGCACCUAUCGAAUAAUCCGAGAUAAUAAGUUAAGCUGCCUACUACCUAUUAAUCUUAAUACUGUCGAAAUUGUUAUGAAAUAGAUUUGUAGUACCUAAAUAAAUUAAAAUGGUUACAUUAAAUGUCCCAGUGUGAACUAAACAUUUUUGAAUCGAGAGGUCUUACAACACAAACAACCCAAACAUAAAAAUGCCCUCGUGAUUAGUUAUUCAGCUGCGUCUUAGUCAAACCAACAACUGAAUGACUCUGUAUUGCAUACAUAUAGUAAAUUAGCUUGUGUGAUGACCUUUACUUCGAAUUCAUUCAUCCAUAAGCUUAUUUAAAAACGAUAAAAUCAAUGUAACAUAGACACGUGCUGUACAAUCACAUGACGCUUAGCCCAUAGAUUACGAUGCGGUAAUCCUGUUGUCUGGUGAUAAUUACAUCGGUACAUUGGUGCAUGCGUAUUAAAAAUAAUUUCUGGGAAGGUAGGUACAAAUAUCGUCUUUCUAUUUUUAUAAUAUUGAUAUGUUUACAAUAUAAAUAACAUUUUUUUUUCAGAGAUAGAUAGAUAGACAGAAAUAUGCUGCAUAAUUUUUAGAAUGCUGUUGGCGCUUUUCCCCUACUCUACGCAUCCGAAAAAUUAUUAGUCAGAAACAAAAGUCGCCAAACCAUCCAAAAUUCGAUAUUAAACAUCGAUUGAAGUAUCGACAAAUUGCAUGACAACACUAGUGCAAAAAUUGAACAAACAUCACUGAGUAAGGAAAGAUCAAGUAGCCUCGUCCCCAACAGACCCGUAUUUUGAUGCGCUACUUAGGAGAUUUUCCGUUAUGGCAUCUUUGUUAGUCAUUUUGUUCUCCAUGCUAAACAUAGUGAAAUUGACAUAAAAAGAUUGCAAUAUAAUUAAAUAUAGUUAUCUCAGUAUACCUCUUCCUCCAGCUGAUGCCUGUGUCGCUGCGAGGCGGCGGCGUCGGUCUCGAGCGCGGCGACGCGCGACGCGAGGCCGCACGCGCAGUUGGCCGCGCUCGCCGUAUUCGCUGUACUGUUGGCCACGUUAGCCCCAGUAGGCGACGUUGUAGAAACGCUUGUUGUUAAUGUAGCGGGGACUGUUUCAGAUACCUGACAAGUAUAAAAAGUUGGUGAUGAUUGAUUUUCAGACUCACAGUAAGCGAAGAUGUGUUGGCCGAGGCACGCUUGUGCCUCGCAUGUCGCGGAGACGCGGCGUCGUCGUGCGAGCGGCGGCGUAAUGCUGCCUCAGGCGCAGGAGACGUCUGCGGCGACCGACGACCCGAUCGACAUGAACCACCUAGCAUAAAUAAAUCAUAUUUUAACCUC
Long non-coding RNA from Helicoverpa zea (corn earworm), 1685 nucleotides. RefSeq lists it as uncharacterized. The transcript has 3 exons. The record is from RefSeq and is a predicted model, not a curated record. Lineage: Eukaryota; Metazoa; Arthropoda; Insecta; Lepidoptera; Noctuidae.